AGUGAACGCUGGCGGUAGGCCUAACACAUGCAAGUCGAACGGCAGCACAGUAAGAGCUUGCUCUUACGGGUGGCGAGUGGCGGACGGGUGAGGAAUACAUCGGAAUCUACUUUUUCGUGGGGGAUAACGUAGGGAAACUUACGCUAAUACCGCAUACGACCUACGGGUGAAAGCAGGGGAUCUUCGGACCUUGCGCGAUUGAAUGAGCCGAUGUCGGAUUAGCUAGUUGGCGGGGUAAAGGCCCACCAAGGCGACGAUCCGUAGCUGGUCUGAGAGGAUGAUCAGCCACACUGGAACUGGAACACGGUCCAGACUCCUACGGGAGGCAGCAGUGGGGAAUAUUGGACAAUGGGCGCAAGCCUGAUCCAGCCAUACCGCGUGGGUGAAGAAGGCCUUCGGGUUGUAAAGCCCUUUUGUUGGGAAAGAAAAGCAGCAGGUUAAUACCCCGCUGCUCUGACGGUACCCAAAGAAUAAGCACCGGCUAACUUCGUG
This 492-nucleotide ribosomal RNA is filed under the name uncultured bacterium. RNAcentral describes it as "partial 16S ribosomal RNA". It matches the Rfam family "Bacterial small subunit ribosomal RNA", at positions 29 to 507 of the family's 1533-position model. The record is from RNAcentral.